GACGAACGCUGGCGGCGUGCUUAACACAUGCAAGUCGAACGGAAAGGCCCUGCUUUUGUGGGGUGCUCGAGUGGCGAACGGGUGAGUAACACGUGAGUAACCUGCCCUUGACUUUGGGAUAACUUCAGGAAACUGGGGCUAAUACCGGAUAUGAGCUCCUGCUGCAUGGUGGUGGUUGGAAAGUUUCGGCGGUUGGGGAUGGACUCGCGGCUUAUCAGCUUGUUGGUGGGGUAGUGGCUUACCAAGGCUUUGACGGGUAGCCGGCCUGAGAGGGUGACCGGCCACAUUGGGACUGCGAUACGGCCCAGACUCCUACGGGAGGCAGCAGUGGGGAAUAUUGCACAAUGGGCGGAAGCCUGAUGCAGAGACGCCGCGUGCGGGAUGACGGCCUUCGGGUUGUAAACCGCUUUCGCCUGUGACGAAGCGUGAGUGACGGUAAUGGGUAAAGAAGCACCGGCUAACUACGUG
This 468-nucleotide ribosomal RNA is filed under the name uncultured bacterium. RNAcentral's name for it is "partial 16S ribosomal RNA". It matches the Rfam family "Bacterial small subunit ribosomal RNA", at positions 28 to 507 of the family's 1533-position model. The record is from RNAcentral.